RNAcentral lists this ribosomal RNA (332 nucleotides) under uncultured eukaryote. RNAcentral describes it as "partial 18S ribosomal RNA". It matches the Rfam family "Eukaryotic small subunit ribosomal RNA", at positions 1470 to 1796 of the family's 1831-position model. The record is from RNAcentral.
CCCUUAGAUGUUCUGGGCUGCACCCGUGCUACACUGGCAGGUUCAGCUAGCUUCAUGCCCUGAUCUGAAAGGAAUGGGAAAUCUUUUCAAAACCUGCCGUGCUUGGGAUAGAUGUUUGCAAUUAUUCAUCUUCAACGAGGAUUGCCUUGUAAGCGCACGUCAUCAGCGUGCAUUGAAUACGACCCUGUAUUCUGUACACACCGCCCGUCGCUCCUACCGAUUGAAGUUUUCGGUGAGUUGACAGGAGGAUUUUUUUGAAACUGGUUCGCCAGUGGAUUUUAGAUCCAAAUGCCAACGAAUCGAUGGCUUUAGAGGAAGGAGAAGUCGUAACA